This 515-nucleotide ribosomal RNA is filed under the name uncultured bacterium. Its description in RNAcentral is "bacterial SSU rRNA". It matches the Rfam family "Bacterial small subunit ribosomal RNA", at positions 735 to 1253 of the family's 1533-position model. The record is from RNAcentral.
AAAGACUGACGCUCAGGCACGAAAGCGUGGGGAUCAAACAGGAUUAGAUACCCUGGUAGUCCACGCUGUAAACGAUGAUCACUCGUUGUUAGCGAUAUACUGUUAGCGACUGAGCGAAAGCAUUAAGUGAUCCACCUGGGGAGUACGGCGGCAACGUUGAAACUCAAAGGAAUUGACGGGGGCCCGCACAAGCGGAGGAGCAUGUGGUUUAAUUCGAUGAUACGCGAGGAACCUUACCUGGGCUUAAAUGUAGGACGACGUUUCGUGAAAGCGGAAUUUCCUUCGGGACGUCUUACAAGGUGCUGCAUGGUUGUCGUCAGCUCGUGCCGUGAGGUGUCGGGUUAAGUCCCAUAACGAGCGCAACCCCUAUCAUUAGUUGCCAUCAGGUCAAGCUGGGAACUCUAAUGAAACUGCCUACGCAAGUAGUGAGGAAGGUGGGGAUGACGUCAAAUCAGCACGGCCCUUAUGUCCAGGGCGACACACGUGCUACAAUGGCCAGUACAGAGGGUUGCGAA